Molecule: ribosomal RNA, 253 nt
Filed under: uncultured bacterium
Lineage: Bacteria
Description: partial 16S ribosomal RNA
Rfam family: Bacterial small subunit ribosomal RNA
Source: RNAcentral
UACGUAGGUGGCAAGCGUUGUCCGGAUUUAUUGGGUUUAAAGGGUGCGUAGGCGGCCUUAUAAGUCAGUGCUGAAAUAUCCCGGCUUAACCGGGAGGGUGGCAUUGAUACUGUAGGGCUUGAGUGUAGUCGAGGUAGGCGGAAUUGACGGUGUAGCGGUGAAAUGCGUAGAUAUCGUCAAGAACACCGAUAGUGUAGACAGCUUACUAGGCUACAACUGACGCUGAGGCACGAAAGUGUGGGGAUCAAACAGG